UACUAUGCAGAAGCAUUUUAGUUUCAUCAGGUGUCAUUUAUUUAGUUUUUUUAUUGUUGUUGCAUUUGCUUUUGGGGUCUUAGUCAUGAAUCUUUGCCUAUAUUUAAGUCUUUGAUCCAUCUUGAGUUGAUUUUUAUAUAAGCUGAGAGAUAGGGAGCCAGUUUCAUUCUGCUACUUGUGGUUUGGAAGUUUUCCCAACACCGUUUAUGAAAUAGAGUAUUCAUUCCCCAGUGUUCGUUCACUGAGGUGUUCUGGCCUGUCUUCCCAGCUGGUCUAGAUGCGGGCAGGGACCUUGUCUGUUUUCACUCAUCUCUGCGUCCCCAGCAUCGAGCACAUGUCUGGCAUAGAGAAGACAAUGAGGCUCACUAGAGAGGAAAAGAAAAAUCACCAUCCUCGUUACUCACACCCACCUCAUUUCUUGGCACAAGUGCAGGUUGUUAGCUGGGUAGCUUGUUUUCUCAGAAGCAGAACAGUAUUUUUAUGCCAAGUAGCUGGGACUAUAGUUGCACAACCACACCUGGUUAAUUAAAAAAAAAAAAAAUUGUAGAGAUGAGGUCUUGCUAUAUUGCCCAGGCUGGCCUUGAACUCCUGGCCUCAAGUGUUUGCCUCAACCUCCCAAAGUGCUGGGAUUACAGGUAUGCACCAUAGCACCCAGCAUCAUAUUCUUAUACCCUAUUCAGAGUAGGAUUCCUCUCAGAAAAAAUACUACAUGGAUCUACUGAAAAACACGACAAUUGGAUUUUUCUCUCCAUCAGACCUGAUAUGGAAAAGUGGGCCAUGGCACUGGCAUGUUUUUAUGCCUCUUGUCAAUGCCUAUCCUCCUCUAGCCCUGACUUUCUGAAGCACCAACACACACUACUUUGGGCACUGAUUAGGCAGGAUAGUGUAUUAUUA
Molecule: long non-coding RNA, 894 nt
Filed under: Homo sapiens (human)
Lineage: Eukaryota; Metazoa; Chordata; Mammalia; Primates; Hominidae
Description: non-protein coding lnc-CEP83-11:1
Source: RNAcentral